RNAcentral lists this ribosomal RNA (434 nucleotides) under uncultured Acidovorax sp. Its description in RNAcentral is "bacterial SSU rRNA". It matches the Rfam family "Bacterial small subunit ribosomal RNA", at positions 958 to 1392 of the family's 1533-position model. The record is from RNAcentral. Lineage: Bacteria; Pseudomonadati; Pseudomonadota; Betaproteobacteria; Burkholderiales; Comamonadaceae.
AACGCGAAGAACCUUACCCACCUUUGACAUGUACGGAAUCCUUUAGAGAUAGAGGAGUGCUCGAAAGAGAGCCGUAACACAGGUGCUGCAUGGCUGUCGUCAGCUCGUGUCGUGAGAUGUUGGGUUAAGUCCCGCAACGAGCGCAACCCUUGUCAUUAGUUGCUACAUUUAGUUGAGCACUCUAAUGAGACUGCCGGUGACAAACCGGAGGAAGGUGGGGAUGACGUCAAGUCCUCAUGGCCCUUAUAGGUGGGGCUACACACGUCAUACAAUGGCUGGUACAGAGGGUUGCCAACCCGCGAGGGGGAGCCAAUCCCAUAAAGCCAGUCGUAGUCCGGAUCGCAGUCUGCAACUCGACUGCGUGAAGUCGGAAUCGCUAGUAAUCGCGGAUCAGAAUGUCGCGGUGAAUACGUUCCCGGGUCUUGUACACACCG